RNAcentral lists this long non-coding RNA (1583 nucleotides) under Octopus sinensis (East Asian common octopus). RNAcentral describes it as "uncharacterized LOC118763012". Lineage: Eukaryota; Metazoa; Mollusca; Cephalopoda; Octopoda; Octopodidae. The record is from RNAcentral.
UCAUCGUUCUGCACAACAGUGAACUCGCAACAAAGCAAUAGUUCGAGAUAUGGCCACUAGGUGACAGCAAAUAUCUUGAGUGAAGAGCAAAUCAAGGGUGCUAAUUAAUUUCUGACGGUAGUGUACAUCCACCUUGUGUAGGUCCCUCAGGCUGUGGGCCCCUGAAACCCAGUCUUCUGCAGGAACUAGUCCUGAAACGCGAUAGCAUUGUUGAGAUCUUUGGCACAAUGCAGUGGCGACCCGUUCUGGCAUUUGUGUAGCUUUCAAUGCCAAAAUUUGGCACAAUCACUUCUAACAUCUUCCAGAUGUAUAUUUCUGCAUAUUUCUCCCGCCUUCACUCCAGGGAGUAGUCUUAGCUGUUUCAACAUUUCCCAGUAGCUGAGCUGUUGCAAUGAGACGAUCUUCUUUGUGAAGCUUCGCUGGAUUGCUUCAUGGUCCGCUGUUAAUGUUACACUGUGGGGUGACCAUAUUUGGGAGCAGUAGUCUAGACGAUUGAAUACGGAUAUCUUCCAGAGGACCGUUAUGGUUUCCUUCUCUCUGGUUCUGAAGGUUCUCAGGAUCCAGCCAGCCGUCUGCACUUUGUCGCCAUCCUGGUAAUGUGCACUUGGAAAGAGGUAUCAUCACUCAUGUUGAUACCCAGGUCCCUCACUGAUUUAUAUUCUGGGAUUGUAAUCCCCACCUGAGCCAAUGUACCCUGUAAGGUUUUCAUUCAGUUUUGGUAGCGCAGGAAUUGGAAUUUUCAAGCAUUAAACUGCAUAUUAUUAUCCUCAGCCCAUCUGUAAAUUGCGUCCAACUUCUGCUGCAGGCGUGCAAAAUCGCUAGGAUUUUGUAUUUUCUGUGAGACUUUCGUAUCGUCAGCAUAGCUUGCAAGGGUGGCUAUCCGGGAAGCUGAGGGCAUAUCUGAGAGGGCCACUAUAAAAAGCAGUAGUCCCAAGACAGUGCCCUGUGGAACACCACUCACUAUUUGUGUUUUCUUUGAGGUGGCUCCAAUGACCACUACUGCCUAACUUCUAUCUUUCAGAAAGUCAUGUAACCAUUCUCCAAGUUUUCCAGCUAUGCCAAGAUAGCGCAGUUUGUGGCAUAUCAUACCGUGAUUAAUUUUAUCAAAAACUUAUGCAAAGUCAAGGUAUUUUACGUCCACAUUUGAGUUGUCGACUAACUGCUUCAACACACAGUCAUAGUGUUGUAGGAGCUGGGUCAGGCAGCUCCUACAUAGUCGAAAGCCAUGCUGGGUAUCAUUCAGCAAGUCAUUUUCUUCGAAGAAUGCAAUUGGUUUCCCUCUGACUAUUCGUUCCAUGACUUUCCUGGUGUGUGAAGUGAGAGAUAGGCCUAAAUUUUUUGGUAUCUGCUCUGCUUCCUCUUUUGUGGAUUCGGCAUAUUAUUCCUUCCUUCAGUUUGCAUGGCAGCUUGACAUUUGCAAGAAAACUCUGAAAGAGAAUCCCUAAUGGUUUUGCCAAGGCAUGUUCGCACGAUUUCAGAAGAAUUGCUGGUAAACCAUCAAGGCCAGCAGCUGAGUGUGCGUCCACCUAAUCUAUGUCUAGUAUUAUAUCUUCUUCACCAACGUCGAUCGGAAGAGCGCCGUG